Molecule: ribosomal RNA, 460 nt
Filed under: uncultured bacterium
Lineage: Bacteria
Description: bacterial SSU rRNA
Rfam family: Bacterial small subunit ribosomal RNA
Source: RNAcentral
UACGGGAGGCAGCAGUGGGGAAUAUUGCACAAUGGGCGAAAGCCUGAUGCAGCUAUGCCGCGUGUAUGAAGAAGGCCUUAGGGUUGUAAAGUACUUUCAUCGGGGAGGAAAAAACAAAACUAAUAAUUUUAUUUCUUGACGUUACCCGAAAAAGAAGCACCGGCUAACUCCGUGCCAGCAGCCGCGGUAAUACGGAGGGUGCUAGCGUUAAUCAGAAUUACUGGGCGUAAAGAGCACGUAGGUGGUUUUUUUAAGUCAGAUGUGAAAUCCCUGGGCUUAACCUGGAACUGCAUUUUGAAACUGAAAUACUAGAGUAUCGUAGAGGGAGGUAGAAUUCUAGGUGUAGCGGUUGAAAUGCGUAGAUAUCUGGAGGAAUACCUGUGGCGAAAGCGGCCUCCUAAACCGAAUACUGACACUGAGGUGCGAAAGCGUGGGGAGCAAACAGGGAUUAGAUACCCGU